This 253-nucleotide ribosomal RNA is filed under the name uncultured bacterium. RNAcentral describes it as "partial 16S ribosomal RNA". It matches the Rfam family "Bacterial small subunit ribosomal RNA", at positions 524 to 776 of the family's 1533-position model. The record is from RNAcentral.
UACGGAGGGUGCGAGCGUUGUCCGGAAUCACUGGGCGUAAAGCGUGCGCAGGCGGUUCUGAAAGUCAGCUGUGAAAGCCCCGGGCUUAACCUGGGAAUUGCGGUUGAAACUACAGGGCUAGAAUCUGGCAGAGGGGGGUGGAAUUCCACGUGUAGCAGUGAAAUGCGUAGAGAUGUGGAGGAAUACCGAUGGCGAAGGCAGCCCCCUGGGCCAAUACUGACGCUCAUGCACGAAAGCGUGGGGAGCAAACAGG